CGGGUGAGUAACACGUGGAUAACCUACCUAUAAGACUGGGAUAACUUCGGGAAACCGGAGCUAAUACCGGAUAAUAUUUUGAACCGCAUGGUUCAAAAGUGAAAGACGGUCUUGCUGUCACUUAUAGAUGGAUCCGCGCUGCAUUAGCUAGUUGGUAAGGUAACGGCUUACCAAGGCAACGAUGCAUAGCCGACCUGAGAGGGUGAUCGGCCACACUGGAACUGAGACACGGUCCAGACUCCUACGGGAGGCAGCAGNU
Molecule: ribosomal RNA, 259 nt
Filed under: uncultured Staphylococcus sp.
Lineage: Bacteria; Bacillati; Bacillota; Bacilli; Caryophanales; Staphylococcaceae
Description: partial 16S ribosomal RNA
Rfam family: Bacterial small subunit ribosomal RNA
Source: RNAcentral